RNAcentral lists this ribosomal RNA (253 nucleotides) under uncultured Caryophanaceae bacterium. RNAcentral's name for it is "uncultured Planococcaceae bacterium partial 16S ribosomal RNA". It matches the Rfam family "Bacterial small subunit ribosomal RNA", at positions 524 to 776 of the family's 1533-position model. Lineage: Bacteria; Bacillati; Bacillota; Bacilli; Caryophanales; Caryophanaceae. The record is from RNAcentral.
UACGGAGGGUGCAAGCGUUAAUCGGAUUUAUUGGGCGUAAAGCGCGCGCAGGUGGUUUCUUAAGUCUGAUGUGAAAGCCCCCGGCUCAACCGGGGAGGGUCAUUGGAAACUGGGAGACUUGAGUGCAGAAGAGGAUAGUGGAAUUCCAAGUGUAGCGGUGAAAUGCGUAGAGAUUUGGAGGAACACCAGUGGCGAAGGCGACUGUCUGGUCUGUAACUGACACUGAGGCGCGAAAGCGUGGGGAGCAAACAGG